RNAcentral lists this ribosomal RNA (253 nucleotides) under uncultured bacterium. RNAcentral describes it as "partial 16S ribosomal RNA". It matches the Rfam family "Bacterial small subunit ribosomal RNA", at positions 524 to 776 of the family's 1533-position model. The record is from RNAcentral.
UACAGAGGGGGCAAGCGUUGUUCGGAAUUACUGGGCGUAAAGGGCGCGUAGGCGGCCUUCUAAGUCGAACGUGAAAUCCCUGGGCUCAACCCAGGAACUGCGUCCGAUACUGGAAGGCUUGAAUCCGGGAGAGGGAUGCGGAAUUCCAGGUGUAGCGGUGAAAUGCGUAGAUAUCUGGAGGAACACCGGUGGCGAAGACGGCAUCCUGGACCGGCAUUGACGCUGAGGCGCGAAAGCCAGGGGAGCAAACGGG